RNAcentral lists this ribosomal RNA (253 nucleotides) under uncultured bacterium. Its description in RNAcentral is "partial 16S ribosomal RNA". It matches the Rfam family "Bacterial small subunit ribosomal RNA", at positions 524 to 776 of the family's 1533-position model. The record is from RNAcentral.
CACGUAGGGCGCAAGCGUUGUCCGGAAUUAUUGGGCGUAAAGAGCUCGUAGGCGGACUGUCACGUCCGCUGUGAAAAGCUAGGGCUUAACCCUGGCCUUGCAGUGGAUACGGGCAGACUAGAGGUAGGUAGGGGAGAAUGGAAUUCCCGGUGUAGCGGUGAAAUGCGUAGAUAUCGCUUGGAACGCCAACGGAGAAAUCAGCAGGCUGGGGAUGUGCUGACGCUGAGACGCGAAAGCCAGGGGAGCAAACGGG